Molecule: long non-coding RNA, 780 nt
Organism: Vicia villosa (hairy vetch)
Lineage: Eukaryota; Viridiplantae; Streptophyta; Magnoliopsida; Fabales; Fabaceae
Exons: 4
Source: RefSeq, a predicted model, not a curated record
GUCACAACUCAUAUCUUGCUCUUUAACAUCUAUCAUAUAAGAAAAGUCACUCUACUUUUUCCACAACAAGCCAUGUCUAGCCUAACAUUCCACCAUUUUGUUUUGAAACAUUUCAUUUUUUUAUUUUUCCUCUCUUUCUCUCUCUUCCAUCUAUUACCAUAUUCUUAUUCUAAUUGUUUCCAAUUUCACUACAGUUACAAAUUAACAAUCUCACUUCCUCUUAUUCUUCUUCUUCCUUCUUCUUUUUUUCUUUGUGUUUUAUAUUCUUCUUCGUAAUGGUUAUCGUUGACGGUGUUUUAUUUUUCUUAUUUAUUCAGCAUCACUAACAUCGUUAUUAUGGUUUUUGUUUCAGAUAGGUUUCGAAACAAUUAUUUGAGCAUAAGGAAUCGAGAGUAAUUGUGAGAAUGAGUUUUAGCGGGAAUGAAGGCAUUUCACAGGCACACAAGAUAUUGUUCUUUUUAAAUAGUUUUAAUGUUGAAACAAACUGUUGAAUUAUGAAGUUUAAAGAAUAAGGAUUCAUGAAAAUUGUGGUUUACUGAUCCAAAUCAAAGGGCAUGGAAGUGAAAAGAUGCAUAUGAAAGUUUACAGGCAAAACAUUCAAGAAUUAAGAAGGAGAGGGACUGUAUUUACUCUUCAACUGAGUCUUUCUAAUGCCGCCAUUACUGCAGCAACCUAUUUUCCAAUGCUACUCAUUAUUUUUCUAAAUAUCUAUAUCUAUGCAGUCUUUUCAAUGCAACAUUUUUGAAUUUUUAUUUUUAUUUUAUAUUUUGAAAAAUAUGU